RNAcentral lists this long non-coding RNA (611 nucleotides) under Capra hircus (goat). Its description in RNAcentral is "lncRNA (ENSCHIG00000007886.1)". Lineage: Eukaryota; Metazoa; Chordata; Mammalia; Artiodactyla; Bovidae. The record is from RNAcentral.
AGUAGAUCAGAAUAUUGAUAAUUCCAAUCAAACUGGUAAAGCCCAAGGGACAGCUAUAGUUGUUUUGAGAUUUAAAUAGGUUAGCUCCAAUUUUAUAUAGUUAACUGAAGUGAAUGAAACUAUACUGCUUUCUUAAAAGUUAAAAAGAAAAGGUUUUAAAAAGCAGGAUGUUUAACACAUAUAAAAUCCUAUUAAAUGCAUGAUAAUAAAUCAUAUUUGUUGAUGGUCAUUUUAAGAAUGAAUUUAAUUUUAGUAUGAAGCUCUCACAGUAUAACCAUGCUAUUUCAUUUUGUUGACAUAGAAACAGAGACCGAGAUCCAUUAACCAAGGAACAUUUGUUAAAAGUCCAUAGGCUUCCUGCUAUGGAGACUAUAGAAGAAAGAGAAGAUUUGGACCCUCUUCUCAAAGGCGCUUAUAUGCAACUGAUGCACUGAAGAAAGAAAACUAAAACAAGCUACAACAGAGCCUAUAAUUCCCAACAAGCUGCUCUGUUUUCUGAUGGAAAUAAUCAGUAAGUAGAUCUCCAAGGCACCUAUUAAUCUCUGUCAGUUUUGACGAAGUGGAGAUUCUGAUUGGCUGCUCAGGAAUGGCCAGCUGCUAAAGGAAACUAG